UAAUAAAAUGAUGGCAGUUACCUUUCAGGACUGGCCUGAAAUGAAGAGAAUACUCAUUCCUGAUCACUU
Mustela putorius furo (domestic ferret) is the source of this 69-nucleotide small nucleolar RNA. NCBI's taxonomy places the organism in Eukaryota, Metazoa, Chordata, Mammalia, Carnivora, Mustelidae. The record is from Ensembl.